UGGGGAAUAUUGGACAAUGGGCGCAAGCCUGAUCCAGCCAUGCCGCGUGGAUGAUGAAGGCCUUAGGGUUGUAAAGUCCUUUCGACGGGGAAGAUAAUGACGGUACCCGUAGAAGAAGCCCCGGCUAACUUCGUGCCAGCAGCCGCGGUAAUACGAAGGGGGCUAGCGUUGCUCGGAAUCACUGGGCGUAAAGCGCACGUAGGCGGCUCUUUAAGUCAGAGGUGAAAUCCUGGGGCUCAACCCCAGAACUGCCUUUGAUACUGAGGAGCUUGAGUCCGGGAGAGGUGAGUGGAACUGCGAGUGUAGAGGUGAAAUUCGUAGAUAUUCGCAAGAACACCAGUGGCGAAGGCGGCUCACUGGCCCGGUACUGACGCUGAGGUGCGAAAGCGUGGGGAGCAAACAGGAUUAGAUACCCCGUAGUC
This 422-nucleotide ribosomal RNA is filed under the name uncultured bacterium. Its description in RNAcentral is "bacterial SSU rRNA". It matches the Rfam family "Bacterial small subunit ribosomal RNA", at positions 355 to 795 of the family's 1533-position model. The record is from RNAcentral.